This 1289-nucleotide long non-coding RNA is filed under the name Apteryx owenii (little spotted kiwi). RNAcentral describes it as "lncRNA (ENSAOWG00000001295.1)". Lineage: Eukaryota; Metazoa; Chordata; Aves; Apterygiformes; Apterygidae. The record is from RNAcentral.
AAAGUUCUGGCUCAGAAAGCCUCAGCAUCCUGUCAGAGACCAAGUGAACUCCUGAUAACUGCAUCUUACAGUCCUACAGCUGCUCAGAUUUACCCUGGGAUCCAAAACUCUGUGAGGACCAAGUUGGUAGUGACAGCUCACCCAGACAAUGCCCUCUGCUUCUCCUAACAAACAGCCUCAGUCCUGAAGACAGUGAGGUGAGAGAUGCUCUGUGUUCACACUGCAAGUCCGACUUGCUCCAGGCACCACAUACAAGCCAUGAGGCUCCCACAUGAGAAGAUCUGAGGGCUUUCGACCCCAUUUGUGUCUUGAGAAUAGCAUGAAAGCAUGGAAUGUGAGCUGUAAGAGCAGACUCUAACUUCACUGGCCCCGUUUUUCCGUUGGACAGCAAUGGCUAUCUGGAGUUUUCUACAUCAAGCUUAAGAGAAAUCUCUGCAGAACCAGAAACAGCAGGGGACUCCGAGGGCCAAAGCAUUCCUUCUCAUUCCCUUCUUUGUGCAAGAGCUGAGGAAAGAGCUGCACUGGGAAUGCUGCAGGAAUUCUAAAGAACACAUCCAAGAUGAAAGGGAAGAGGAACAUUUUUUGGCUGGAGUUGGUGCAAACAAUUAUAGUGUAUCAUUCACCACACCUGAGGGAUUCACCACCACCUGUGGAUCUCCCUGAGUCUACAAAACAUGGUCUGAAAACCCCAAGCCAAAAUCAAAGCAGAAAGAAUGCAAGGAAGUGAAGUGUGGAAACGUUUCCUGAUUUGCUAAAGUCACCAGAGAGUCUGUGUGAUAGCUCAGGGCUGAACUCAGAUCUUUAAAGUCUUAGCCUGUGCUUUAAAAACAACUUUGCUCUCAGCUCCCAGGAAAUGUAUGGCUAGAUAGUACCUUCUGGAUGCUUCAUUUAGGGUCCCUGAAAAGAGUUUGUCAAUGAUAGUCAUCUCAAAAAGAAGUGUUCCAACAAAACACAGUUAUAUGUUACUCAGGUGUGCACUAAUUUUAAUAAUUCAUAUACACAUUUCUCUCUCUGGAGAAUAUGACCCAAAAGUAAUGACUUGCCAGACAGAAUAUCCUUUAUUCUCUUAGUCUGAGAGCAGUUAAUCUGGUCAUGAGUAAAUAUCAGUAUUAUCUAAAGGGUUUAUACUGAUGUGGAUGGUAUGGAUGGGAAAACACUUCUUGUCCUAGCUGUUGAUGUCCUACUGUAACUGAACUACAGUGUCUGGGUUUAAGUUUCAUAAACAGUGCAGGAGUUUUCUCAGUAAUUUUUAUAAUAAAUAUGAGUGACUGACAAUAUACCCCCGUAAG